CCUACGGGAAGCAGCAGUGGGGAAUAUUGCACAAUGGGCGAAAGCCUGAUGCAGCAACGCCGCGUGAGCGAUGAAGGCCUUCGGGUCGUAAAGCUCUGUCCUCAAGGAAGAGAAUGACGGUACGUGAGGAGGAAGCCCCGGCUAACGACGUGCCAGCAGCCGCGGGAAUACGUAGGGGGCUAGCGUUAUCCGGAAUUACUGGGCGUAAAGGGUGCGUAGGUGGUUUCUUAAGUCAGAGGUUAAAGGCUACGGCUCACCCGUAGUAAGCCUUUGAAACGGGGGAACUUGAGUGCAGGAGAGGAGAGUGGAAUUCCUGGUGUAGCGGUGAAAUGCGUCGAUAUUAGGAGGAACCCCAGUUGCGAAGGCGGCUCUCUGGACUGUACCUGACACUGAGGCACGACAGCGUGGGGAGCAAACAGGAUUAGAUACCCUAGUAGUC
Molecule: ribosomal RNA, 439 nt
Filed under: uncultured bacterium
Lineage: Bacteria
Description: partial 16S ribosomal RNA
Rfam family: Bacterial small subunit ribosomal RNA
Source: RNAcentral